This 25-nucleotide non-coding RNA is filed under the name Rattus norvegicus (Norway rat). Lineage: Eukaryota; Metazoa; Chordata; Mammalia; Rodentia; Muridae. The record is from RNAcentral.
UAUAUCAUUAGAUAUGCCAUGAUAG